CCCAGCUACUCGGGAGGCUGAGACAGGA
Molecule: non-coding RNA, 28 nt
Filed under: Cricetulus griseus (Chinese hamster)
Lineage: Eukaryota; Metazoa; Chordata; Mammalia; Rodentia; Cricetidae
Also listed under: 1 other name
Source: RNAcentral